This 309-nucleotide unclassified non-coding RNA is filed under the name plant metagenome. RNAcentral describes it as "partial contains 5.8S ribosomal RNA, internal transcribed spacer 2, and large subunit ribosomal RNA". The stretch from base 1 to 105 matches the Rfam family "5.8S ribosomal RNA", at positions 50 to 154 of the family's 154-position model. The record is from RNAcentral.
GAAAUGCGAUAAGUAGUGUAAAUUGCAGAAUUCAGUGAAUCAUCGAAUCUUUGAACGCACAUUGCGCCCCUUGGUAUUCCAUGGGGCAUGCCUGUUCGAGCGUCAUUUGUACCCUCAAGCUCUGCUUGGUGUUGGGUGUUUGUCCCGUCUCCGCGCGUGGACUCGCCCCAAAGUGAUUGGCAGCCGGCGUACUGGUCCCGGAGCGCAGCACAUGUCGCGCAAACGAGUGCCUUGGUACGGCGGCGUCCAUAAGCCCCUCUCUCACGCUCUUGACCUCGGAUCAGGUAGGGAUACCCGCUGAACUUAAGC